This 551-nucleotide small RNA is filed under the name Pongo abelii (Sumatran orangutan). RNAcentral describes it as "retained intron". The record is from RNAcentral. Lineage: Eukaryota; Metazoa; Chordata; Mammalia; Primates; Hominidae.
CUCGCGGGUCCGGGAGCGCGACGGAGACGAUGCCUGAGAUCAGAGUCACGCCCUUGGGUAGACGAUGAGCUGGAGAUCAAGGCCUACUAUGCAGGCCAUGUGCUGGGGGCAGCCAUGUUCCAGAUUAAAGUGGGCUCAGAGUCUGUGGUCUACACGGGUGAUUAUAACAUGACCCCAGACCGACACUUGGGGUAAGUAGGCUGAGGUGUCUUUUUGUCCCGUGGGUCCCCCUGAAGCUCAGGACCCUUGCGGGUGUCAGGGUGCCAGCCCUUGAGCGGCCAGCCUGGCAGUGUCUCCCAUGUUCUGUGCGGCCUGGAGAGCCCCUUCGUUCUGGGCCCAGAUGUGCAAAGGCACAGGGUCCAGGCGGGGGCCUCUGUCUCUCCUCUCUCUUCCCAAGUGUCUAGGUGGGUGCCUCUGUCUCUCCUCUCUCUUCCCAAGUGUGCUGCCCACAGCAUUUUACCAGCUGGCUCUUUCCAGCCAGAGUGGCCUAGGAAGGCGGCUGGGUGUGGUACUGGGGUCCAGCUUGUCACACCCAGCCCUGCAACUGUGGG